CCUACGGGUGGCAGCAGUGAGGAAUAUUGGUCAAUGGCCGAGAGGCUGAACCAGCCAAGUCGCGUGAGGGAAGACGGCCCUACGGGUUGUAAACCUCUUUUGUCGGGGAGCAAAGCGAGUCACGUGUGACUCAUUGAGAGUACCCGAAGAAAAAGCAUCGGCUAACUCCGUGCCAGCAGCCGCGGUAAUACGGAGGAUGCGAGCGUUAUCCGGAUUUAUUGGGUUUAAAGGGUGCGCAGGCGGAGGUGCAAGUCAGCGGUCAAAUUGCGGGGCUCAACCCCGUACUGCCGUUGAAACUGCAGCCCGUGAGGGCAGCGGAGGCAGGCGGAAUGCGCGGUGUAGCGGUGAAAUGCAUAGAUAUCGCGCAGAACCCCGAUUGCGAAGGCAGCGUGCCGUGCCGCAACUGACGCUGAGGCACGAAAGCGCGGGGAUCGAACAGGAUUAGAUACCCUGGUAGUC
Molecule: ribosomal RNA, 459 nt
Filed under: uncultured bacterium
Lineage: Bacteria
Description: partial 16S ribosomal RNA
Rfam family: Bacterial small subunit ribosomal RNA
Source: RNAcentral